RNAcentral lists this ribosomal RNA (206 nucleotides) under uncultured bacterium. RNAcentral's name for it is "partial 16S ribosomal RNA". It matches the Rfam family "Bacterial small subunit ribosomal RNA", at positions 568 to 774 of the family's 1533-position model. The record is from RNAcentral.
UGCGUAGGUGGUAUGGCAAGUCAGAAGUGAAAACCCAGGGCUUAACUCUGGGACUGCUUUUGAAACUGUCAGACUGGAGUGCAGGAGAGGUAAGCGGAAUUCCUAGUGUGGCGGUGAAAUGCGUAGAUAUUAGGAGGAACAUCAGUGGCGAAGGCGGCUUACUGGACUGAGACUGACACUGAGGCACGAAAGCGUGGGAGCAAACA